RNAcentral lists this ribosomal RNA (253 nucleotides) under uncultured bacterium. RNAcentral's name for it is "partial 16S ribosomal RNA". It matches the Rfam family "Bacterial small subunit ribosomal RNA", at positions 524 to 776 of the family's 1533-position model. The record is from RNAcentral.
UACGUAGGGAGCAAGCGUUGUCCGGAUUUAUUGGGCGUAAAGAGCUCGUAGGCGGUUCCGUAAUUCAGGUGUGAAAAAUCUGGGCUCAACCCAGUGGAGCACCUGAUACUGCGGUGACUCGAGUCCGGUAGGGGAGUGUGGAAUUCCUGGUGUAGCGGUGAAAUGCGCAGAUAUCAGGAGGAACACCGACGGCGAAGGCAGCACUCUGGGCCGGUACUGACGCUGAGGAGCGAAAGCAUGGGGAGCGAACAGG